This 726-nucleotide ribosomal RNA is filed under the name uncultured Staphylococcus sp. Its description in RNAcentral is "bacterial SSU rRNA". It matches the Rfam family "Bacterial small subunit ribosomal RNA", at positions 75 to 785 of the family's 1533-position model. Lineage: Bacteria; Bacillati; Bacillota; Bacilli; Caryophanales; Staphylococcaceae. The record is from RNAcentral.
GAAGCUUGCUUCUCUGAUGUUAGCGGCGGACGGGUGAGUAACACGUGGAUAACCUACCUAUAAGACUGGGAUAACUUCGGGAAACCGGAGCUAAUACCGGAUAAUAUUUUGAACCGCAUGGUUCAAAAGUGAAAGACGGUCUUGCUGUCACUUAUAGAUGGAUCCGCCGCUGCAUUAGCUAGUUGGUAAGGUAACGGCUUACCAAGGCAACGAUGCAUAGCCGACCUGAGAGGGUGAUCGGCCACACUGGAACUGAGACACGGUCCAGACUCCUACGGGAGGCAGCAGUAGGGAAUCUUCCGCAAUGGGCGAAAGCCUGACGGAGCAACGCCGCGUGAGUGAUGAAGGUCUUCGGAUCGUAAAACUCUGUUAUUAGGGAAGAACAUAUGUGUAAGUAACUGUGCACAUCUUGACGGUACCUAAUCAGAAAGCCACGGCUAACUACGUGCCAGCAGCCGCGGUAAUACGUAGGUGGCAAGCGUUAUCCGGAAUUAUUGGGCGUAAAGCGCGCGUAGGCGGUUUUUUAAGUCUGAUGUGAAAGCCCACGGCUCAACCGUGGAGGGUCAUUGGAAACUGGAAAACUUGAGUGCAGAAGAGGAAAGUGGAAUUCCAUGUGUAGCGGUGAAAUGCGCAGAGAUAUGGAGGAACACCAGUGGCGAAGGCGACUUUCUGGUCUGUAACUGACGCUGAUGUGCGAAAGCGUGGGGAUCAAACAGGAUUAGAUAC